Molecule: ribosomal RNA, 1131 nt
Filed under: Triticum aestivum (bread wheat)
Lineage: Eukaryota; Viridiplantae; Streptophyta; Magnoliopsida; Poales; Poaceae
Description: partial small subunit ribosomal RNA
Source: RNAcentral
AUGACCGCCAUCGCCAUGUCGGGAGAUCCGCUCGCGCACCACCGCCCGAGCUUUCUCGUCGAGGAGAAGGAGGAGGGAGCGGCCGGCGAGGCGGAGCGCUACGUCUCGGACUCCGACGACGACGACGACGUCGACCGCUUCGUGUUCCUCGCGCGCCAGCCCGCGCCGGCCGAGGCGACCGAGGAUGGUGAUGGAGACGCGAUGCCGCCGCGCGGGGGAGGAGGCGGCGGGCGGAAGAGGCGUCUCCGGGAGAUGCUACUGGCCGACGAUCCUCCAGCGGUGGAGCGAGGAGCCUCCUCGACCGGGGAGGAGUCUGGGAGCGAGGAGCCGAUGUGUUCCCCGGAGCGGGGAGGUUUUGAUCUGGGGAAGAAGAACAAGAAGCGUCGCGGUCACGGCGUGGAGCCGAAGGAACAGCGCGCCGUGCGUGGCGUGGGGCCGCAGCAUCGGGACGUGACGGCAGAGCUGAAGACGCCGGUGGCGGCGGCGGCGGCGGCGGCUCCCAGGCGCUUCCCGUGCAGCAUGUGCGGGAGGUGCUUCGGCAGCCACCAGGCGCUCGGCGGGCACGUGCACUUCGGCCACAGGAAGAAGGCCAAGGACACGAUCGCCGCGGCAGCGAGUCCGGAGGACGCUGCCGGUGGUGGCAAUGGUGAUCGCGGCGUGAAGUUGGCCACGGUGGGCCAAGAGGCUGCCGAUGGCAAUGCCGCUCACGGCGAGGACAAGGCCACGGUAGGGAACAAGACGGUGGACUUUGCCGCACAUCAUCAGGACGUCGACACCAGAAGCUUCCACGGGCGCAAUGUGAGCAACAUCAACGAGGAGAUGUUCGCCGGCGCAGCAAACCACGGUGGUCACGGCGGCGAUGGAGUUGUCGAGGAGGCCGCCGGCAAUGGCAGCUUGGCGGUCGCUGUUGGAAGGCCCCACGGCAAAGUACACAGGUGCGAGGUGUGCGGCAAGGAGUGCCUCUCAGGGCAGGCGCUCGGCGGGCACAUGAGGAAGCACCGGAAGCAGUCACCGCCCGACGGCGGCAAGGAGCGACGGAGAUCGCCGGAGCUGGACUGGAUACCCACUCAGAGACCUGCGGUGACCACAGGGGGACAACCUCAGCGAGAGCGCGAAUUGGGCUGGAUUUGA